RNAcentral lists this ribosomal RNA (253 nucleotides) under uncultured bacterium. Its description in RNAcentral is "partial 16S ribosomal RNA". It matches the Rfam family "Bacterial small subunit ribosomal RNA", at positions 524 to 776 of the family's 1533-position model. The record is from RNAcentral.
UACAGAGGGUGCAAGCGUUAAUCGGAAUUACUGGGCGUAAAGCGCGCGUAGGUGGCUAAGUAAGAUGGGUGUGAAAUCCCCGAGCUUAACUUGGGAAUUGCAUUCGAUACUGGUUGGCUAGAGUAUGGGAGAGGAUGGUAGAAUUCCAGGUGUAGCGGUGAAAUGCGUAGAGAUCUGGAGGAAUACCGAUGGCGAAGGCAGCCAUCUGGCCUAAUACUGACACUGAGGUGCGAAAGCAUGGGGAGCAAACAGG